This 29-nucleotide non-coding RNA is filed under the name Mus musculus (house mouse). The record is from RNAcentral. Lineage: Eukaryota; Metazoa; Chordata; Mammalia; Rodentia; Muridae.
UAAGCGUACCGAUUGCUCUUCCAAAGGCC